AGCAGCCGCGGUAAUUCCAGCUCCAAUAGCGUAUAUUAAAGUUGUUGCAGUUAAAAAGCUCGUAGUUGAAUUUUGGGCCUGGCUGGGUGGUCUUGCCGCAAGGUAAGCACUGCUCUGGUCGGGUCUUUCCUUCUGGGGAGCCAGCGUGCUCUUAACUGAGUGCGUUGGGGAUCCAGGACUUUUACUGUGAAAAAAUUAGAGUGUUCAAAGCAGGCCUUUGCUCGAAUACAUUAGCAUGGAAUAAUAGAACAGGACGUGCGGUUCUAUUUUGUUGGUUUCUAGGACCGCCGUAAUGAUUAAUAGGGAUAGUCGGGGGCGUCAGUAUUCAGCUGUCAGAGGUGAAAUUCUUGGAUUUGCUGAAGACUAACUACUGCGAAAGCAUUCGCCAAGGAUGUUUUCAUUAAUCAGGGAACGAAAGUUAGGGGAUCGAAGACGAUCAGAUACCGUCGUAGUCUUAACCAUAAACUAUGCCGACUAGGGAUCGGAUGAUGUUAAUUUUUAAAUGACUCA
This 510-nucleotide ribosomal RNA is filed under the name Rhizophlyctis rosea. RNAcentral's name for it is "bacterial SSU rRNA". It matches the Rfam family "Eukaryotic small subunit ribosomal RNA", at positions 569 to 1078 of the family's 1831-position model. Lineage: Eukaryota; Fungi; Chytridiomycota; Chytridiomycetes; Rhizophlyctidales; Rhizophlyctidaceae. The record is from RNAcentral.